UACGAAGGGGGCUAGCGUUGUUCGGAAUCACUGGGCGUAAAGGGCGCGUAGGCGGCGCGACAAGUCAGGCGUGAAAGCCCCGGGCUCAACCCGGGAAUUGCGCUUGAUACUGUCGGGCUUGAGUCCGGGAGAGGAUGGCGGAAUUCCCAGUGUAGAGGUGAAAUUCGUAGAUAUUGGGAAGAACACCCGUGGCUAAGGCGGCUCUCUAGUACGGUACUGACGCUGAGACGCGAAAGCGUGGGGAGCGAACAGG
Molecule: ribosomal RNA, 253 nt
Filed under: uncultured bacterium
Lineage: Bacteria
Description: partial 16S ribosomal RNA
Rfam family: Bacterial small subunit ribosomal RNA
Source: RNAcentral